GAUGAAGAACGUAGCGAAAUGCGAUACGUAAUGUGAAUUGCAAAUUCAGUGAAUCAUCGAGUCUUUGAACGCACAUUGCGCCCCCUGGUAUUCCGGGGGGCAUGCCUGUCCGAGCGUCAUUGCUGCCCUCAAGCACGGCUUGUGUGAUGGGCCCCGUCCUCCGAUCCCGGGGGACGGGCCCGAAAGGCAGCGGCGGCACCGCGUCCGGUCCUCGAGCGUAUGGGGCUUUGUCACCCGCUCUGUAGGCCCGGCCGGCGCUUGCCGAUCAACCCAAAUUUUUAUCCAGGUUGACCUCGGAUCAGGUAGGGAUACCCGCUGAACUUAAGCAUAUCAAUAAGCGGAGGA
Molecule: unclassified non-coding RNA, 345 nt
Filed under: soil metagenome
Description: partial contains 5.8S ribosomal RNA, internal transcribed spacer 2, and large subunit ribosomal RNA
Rfam family: 5.8S ribosomal RNA (bases 1-119)
Source: RNAcentral